Molecule: ribosomal RNA, 424 nt
Filed under: uncultured bacterium
Lineage: Bacteria
Description: bacterial SSU rRNA
Rfam family: Bacterial small subunit ribosomal RNA
Source: RNAcentral
UCGGGAAUUUUGGGCAAUGGGCGAAAGCCUGACGCAGCGACGCCGCGUGAGUGAUGAAGGCCUUCGGGUUGUAAAGCUCUGUGGGGAGAGAAGAAUAAGUGCGGGCUAAUACUCCGCAUGAUGACGGUAUCUCCUUAGCAAGCACCGGCUAACUCUGUGCCAGCAGCCGCGGUAAGACAGAGGGUGCAAACGUUGUUCGGAAUUACUGGGCGUAAAGCGAGUGUAGGCGGUUUGGAAAGUCGGAUGUGAAAGCCCCGGGCUCAACCCGGGAAGUGCAUUCGAUACUCCCAAGCUAGAGUAUCGGAGAGGUUGGUGGAAUUCUCGGUGUAGAGGUGAAAUUCGUAGAUAUCGAGAGGAACACCGGUGGCGAAGGCGGCCAACUGGACGAAUACUGACGCUGAGACUCGAAAGCGUGGGGAGCAAA